CCGCCUACGGGGGGCAGCAGUGAGGAAUAUUGGUCAAUGGCCGAGAGGCUGAACCAGCCAAGUCGCGUGAGGGAUGACGGCCCUACGGGUUGUAAACCUCUUUUGUCGGGGAGCAAGACCCGCCUCGUGCAGGCGGAGCGAGAGUACCCGAAGAAAAAGCAUCGGCUAACUCCGUGCCAGCAGCCGCGGUAAUACGGAGGAUGCGGGCGUUAUCCGGAUUUAUUGGGCGUAAAGGGAACGCAGGCGGUCUUUUAAGUCUGAUGUGAAAG
Molecule: ribosomal RNA, 269 nt
Filed under: uncultured bacterium
Lineage: Bacteria
Description: partial 16S ribosomal RNA
Rfam family: Bacterial small subunit ribosomal RNA
Source: RNAcentral